GAGUAGCAAUACUCGAGUGGCGAACGGGUGAGUAACACGUGAGCAACCUGCCUUACACAACGGGAUACCUACUAGGAAACAGUAGUUAAUACGGUAUAAGACCACAGUACCGCAUGAUACAGUGGUAAAAGAUUUAUCGGUGUAAGAUGGGCUCGCGGCGCAUUAGCUAGUUGGAGAGGUAACGGCUCACCAAGGCGACGAUGCGUAGCCGACCUGAGAGGGUGAUCGGCCACAUUGGGACUGAGAUACGGCCCAGACUCCUACGGGAGGCAGCAGUGGGGAAUAUUGGGCAAUGGAGGAAACUCUUACCCAGACAAUGCCGCGUGAAUGAUGAAGGUCGUAAGAUUGUAAAGUUCUUUAGUCAGGGACAAAGAAAGUGAUAGUACCUGAAGAAUAAGCUCCGGCUAACUACGUGCCAGCCGCCGC
Molecule: ribosomal RNA, 426 nt
Filed under: uncultured bacterium
Lineage: Bacteria
Description: bacterial SSU rRNA
Rfam family: Bacterial small subunit ribosomal RNA
Source: RNAcentral